RNAcentral lists this ribosomal RNA (274 nucleotides) under uncultured bacterium. RNAcentral describes it as "partial 16S ribosomal RNA". It matches the Rfam family "Bacterial small subunit ribosomal RNA", at positions 523 to 796 of the family's 1533-position model. The record is from RNAcentral.
AUACGGAGGGUGCAAGCGUUAUCCGGAAUCAUUGGGUUUAAAGGGUCCGUAGGCGGACUAUUAAGUCAGAGGUGAAAUCCCACAGCUCAACUGUGGAACUGCCUUUGAUACUGGUAGUCUUGAGUUAUAUGGAAGUAGAUAGAAUGUGUAGUGUAGCGGUGAAAUGCAUAGAUAUUACACAGAAUACCGAUUGCGAAGGCAGUCUUCUACGUAUAUACUGACGCUAAGGGACGAAAGCGUGGGGAGCGAACAGGAUUAGAAACCCCAGUAGUCC